GUGAGGUAGUUUAUUAAAACUUUUGGCUGUUAAUCAAAAAAUAGGGUUUAUGCCUCUUUGCCG
This 63-nucleotide transfer RNA is filed under the name Xenostrobus securis. RNAcentral describes it as "tRNA-Asn". Lineage: Eukaryota; Metazoa; Mollusca; Bivalvia; Mytilida; Modiolidae. The record is from RNAcentral.